Molecule: non-coding RNA, 947 nt
Organism: Onthophagus taurus
Lineage: Eukaryota; Metazoa; Arthropoda; Insecta; Coleoptera; Scarabaeidae
Source: RefSeq, a predicted model, not a curated record
UAUUUUAUUGUUAGGUUAUGUUUAUUACCGAACUUCACACUUGUUUGAUUUUUAGCGCCAUCUUUUAGGCAAACAAUUAAGUUAUCACAACAUAACCUAACAACUGACAUUUUAACGAUUUGUGGUUAUUGUGAAUUUUCGAACUGGGGCUGUAGCUAACCCUAAUUUAAGAUCGGCAGCUGUUGGUUUACCCAUAGUUUCAGUUGAAGAAAUAAAAUCUAAAAGAUCAUCAACGAGUUGAAAACCUAAGCCUAAAUUUCGUCCAUAUUGUGUUUUCGAUUGAGAAGAAGACGAAGAAGAAAGUAACAUCUGACCUACUUAAAGUAGCAAGGCCACUCUCACCUAUACGAAAAGCCAACGUACCAACAAUCGUCUCCGUGAUCGUUAACAUUCCUCGAUUACAUUCAAAAAAACAAAUAUGGUUAUAAUCUUUUUCGAUAAGAUUUUGAGUUCUAAGUUGAGAUUAAAUUGGAAUUGAACCUCCAAGAUAAACAUGUAAAUGGAAUAUUUUGAAAGUAAAAUUAAAAUCUAAAAUCGGUGCCAAUUAGAUUCUGGUUACCCAGAGGCGAACCAGAAAGUAAAAUAAUAAAAAAAAAAAAGAAAAGUUGAAAAAUUCAACAACGGUAUUAUAGAUAUUCUGUGAGCGCCUGUUGCGGAAUCGGUCAGAAUCGGAAAAUGAAAGUGUGGAUUUUGAAAGCCAAUAUGAGCCCAACGUUCGGCGAUAAGCACUUAUAAUUCAAGUUAAGAACGAGCGCGACUUUUAUGUUAUAAAAGAAAGUCGUCGCGUCGUUUGGACGAAGAUAGAACUCGUCGCGGGAAAGUUUUCGCCAAUUUCAAUUUGCAACAAUGCUUGUUCAUUAUUAUUUGUCUUGAUUAACUCCCAAUUAAAAAUGUAUCUUAAUAAAUUAAAAAGCAAAAAAAUUGUCUUAAUUAAUUAACCAAUAAAA